CUUGCAUUGUAUUUAAACUGGUUUUCAAAGGCUCACAGCAGCUUCACCUAAUUUCAAUUUAUAAUAUUAAUAUGUAACAUCUAUAUAGAUGAAAUCUACUUAUACAUCGUGUAUUGAAUUAUUUAUACAAGAAAAAUAUCAUAUGCAAACACCAUAAUUUGACCAAGCGUAAUUUUGAAUAUGUCCAAACUAUGUUCCACUUUUCUUUUAAAAUUAAGAAAAAUCUCAUCAUGCACAUGAUUCUACUGAUUCUACAAUCGCCAACGAAUACCCAUUCAACCCAAAUCUUGCAGACGAAAACCUAACUGAGUCACCGUAACUUAGAACUCGCUCUCCAAACCGAGCUGACUCACUUCCACCGUGCUUAAGCAGCAAUCUUCCCUCCUCUUUGUAUGCUUUUCCAUUCUCAACCCUUCCCUUCAUUUCCCUGAUAAAACACCAAAGGUUCUCAAUCAAUGUUUUCUUCUUAAUGGGUAAAGCUAAAAGCCGCUCUUUACAAUCCUCGAGUCUUUUCAAUAUGCAUUCCAACUCAACUGAGUCACCAAAAUUCAGGCAACUCAUUCUUUGGUUAAACUCCUCUGCUCGGAUUGAGAUUUCAUUUGUUGAUGACAAAUAAUCUUCUCCCACCAAAUUUAUGAUCUGCUGCACUAAUUCAUUACCUUGCAUAUGCAAAGAAUUAGGUAUUUUGCAUAUUUCUUCCAUUAAGCUCGUCAAAGAAUCUAUCUCUCUCAGAAGAUCAGGGUUUGUUAGUGCUGAAACUUUCUCUUCUUCUUUAUCUUUCUCUGCUGUGCUUGAAGUUGAACAGAGAAAGAAACCCAGAACCCUUGAGGUUGAUAAGAGAUGUUCAAGGUAUCGAGCAUACCUGUAAUUUCCAAGAUAAUUAACAUGAAAACCAAGGAAAAGAAACUGGAAAAACACUAAUAAAAAUGAAUGAAUUGAGAAAAUGUUCAUUUAGUUAUGAAAUUUUCCCUUUCAGAGAGAUUCUUUCUAUGAUCUUGAUGCCUUUCUACUUGCUGGCUAGAGCAACACAAACCAUCUAACCCAUGAAGAUAAUUCCCAAGCUAUGGGCGUGGUGUUAUCUCUAAAGCUUGAAAGUUUGAGGUAGUUUCUGCCGCCUGUGGAAGGAUAAACAGAAAGCUGGUCUUGGAGGAUAAAACUACCAUCCUUGAUGAUGUGAUGGACGAUGGCAAGGCACUUGAUAGCGACGGAGGAGUCAUGGGUAGACUGCAGCCUGUCCAUAAGGGCCUCAAUUGCAGCGGCAGCGGUGGCGCGUGAGCUGUAGCCAUAGGAAAGCAUAGUGGUGAUGUGCUUUGGGUGUGGAGGAGUAAAUGGGUCGUGAGUUGUGGCUCUGAGGAGGGCUAAGUGGAGAGACAAGGUUUUGGGUUUAGAGAUUAUGGCUGCUUUGCUUUGAGAAGCCUUGUCUUUGAUUAUCCCUAUUAUGUCUCUAAGAUUUGUUGGGCGCCCCAUGAAAGCAAAAUUUGCUGGUUUACAGAGGCUAAAAGAUUGAAUGAAAAGAUGAAGAUAAGAACUAAACAAGAGAGAGACGAUCGAUCCACAAAAAUGAUUGAUAAGAUCCAGAGACAGAGGGGAUUGGGUGGCCUGGUGGGGUUGAUUAUAU
Molecule: unclassified non-coding RNA, 1618 nt
Filed under: Hevea brasiliensis (rubber tree)
Lineage: Eukaryota; Viridiplantae; Streptophyta; Magnoliopsida; Malpighiales; Euphorbiaceae
Source: RNAcentral